Molecule: ribosomal RNA, 563 nt
Filed under: Fusarium sp. G28
Lineage: Eukaryota; Fungi; Ascomycota; Sordariomycetes; Hypocreales; Nectriaceae
Description: eukaryotic LSU rRNA
Rfam family: Eukaryotic large subunit ribosomal RNA
Source: RNAcentral
AAACCAACAGGGAUUGCCCUAGUAACGGCGAGUGAAGCGGCAACAGCUCAAAUUUGAAAUCUGGCUCUCGGGCCCGAGUUGUAAUUUGUAGAGGAUACUUUUGAUGCGGUGCCUUCCGAGUUCCCUGGAACGGGACGCCAUAGAGGGUGAGAGCCCCGUCUGGUUGGAUGCCAAAUCUCUGUAAAGUUCCUUCAACGAGUCGAGUAGUUUGGGAAUGCUGCUCUAAAUGGGAGGUAUAUGUCUUCUAAAGCUAAAUACCGGCCAGAGACCGAUAGCGCACAAGUAGAGUGAUCGAAAGAUGAAAAGCACUUUGAAAAGAGAGUUAAAAAGUACGUGAAAUUGUUGAAAGGGAAGCGUUUAUGACCAGACUUGGGCUUGGUUAAUCAUCUGGGGUUCUCCCCAGUGCACUUUUCCAGUCCAGGCCAGCAUCAGUUUUCCCCGGGGGAUAAAGGCGGCGGGAAUGUGGCUCUCUUCGGGGAGUGUUAUAGCCCACCGUGUAAUACCCUGGGGGGGACUGAGGUUCGCGCAUCUGCAAGGAUGCUGGCGUAAUGGGCAUCAACGAC